Long non-coding RNA from Equus quagga, 632 nucleotides. RefSeq lists it as uncharacterized. NCBI's taxonomy places the organism in Eukaryota, Metazoa, Chordata, Mammalia, Perissodactyla, Equidae. The transcript is spliced from 3 exons. The record is from RefSeq and is a predicted model, not a curated record.
CAAAGACGUGGAGGAAAGAAGGACGGGACUGUUGGAUCCAGAGUUCUCCCACCAUCCUUCUCUGGUCUUACUCCACCCUAGCGAUCACAGCUUCUCCAGAUGGGCCAUGCACUGUCCCUGUGAGGAGUGGCGGCAACACAGCCCACGUCCACUCAAGGGAAUGCGGGAAUCCUAUACAAGUAUGCUUGAAUGUCCACCACCUUCCGGGCACUGUGUUGGCGUGGGACAUGGCAGCGAACGAGACAAACCCUGCAGAGCCCUGGGGAUCUCACAUGAGCAAAAGCUUCACUUCUGAGAUCCCUGAGUCACCGUGUAAGAUGUCUGACAACCCUGCUCAUGGGACCAUGUGAAAAGGCCAUGUGGAGAGGAAGAGAGGCCCAGCUGAUGACUCAGCAUCUUAGUUCAGCCUCCAGAUGACUCCAGCCCCAGCCUUUAUCUGGAUGCACCCACGUGAGAGACCCCGAGCAGACCAGCAGAAGAACCAGCAAGCUGAACCCAGUCCACCCACUGACCCAGGAGAGAGAAUAAAAUAGUGGUUGUUUCAAAGCCGCUGAGUUUUGGACUGGUUUGUUAUGCAGUGACAGAUAACGAAAACAGUCUUCCCGUUGAGCUAUUGGCUGGUAUUCCUGAGU